Molecule: ribosomal RNA, 301 nt
Filed under: uncultured bacterium
Lineage: Bacteria
Description: partial 16S ribosomal RNA
Rfam family: Bacterial small subunit ribosomal RNA
Source: RNAcentral
CAGCCGCCGCGGGAAUACGGAGGGAGCUAGCGUUGUUCGGAAUUACUGGGCGUAAAGCGCGCGUAGGCGGUUAUUUAAGUCAGGGGUGAAAGCCCGGUGCUCAACACCGGAACAGCCCUUGAGACUGGAUAACUUGAAUCCAGGAGAGGUGAGUGGAAUUCCGAGUGUAGAGGUGAAAUUCGUAGAUAUUCGGAAGAACACCAGUGGCGAAGGCGGCUCACUGGACUGGUAUUGACGCUGAGGUGCGAAAGCGUGGGGAGCAAACAGGAUUAGAUACCCGAGUAGUCCCUGUCUCUUAUAC